UGCAGUCGAACGAUGAACCUCCUUCGGGAGGGGAUUAGUGGCGAACGGGUGAGUAACACGUGGGCAAUCUGCCCUGCACUCUGGGACAAGCCCUGGAAACGGGGUCUAAUACCGGAUACGAGCCUCCACCGCAUGGUGGGGGUUGGAAAGCUCCGGCGGUGCAGGAUGAGCCCGCGGCCUAUCAGCUUGUUGGUGAGGUAACGGCUCACCAAGGCGACGACGGGUAGCCGGCCUGAGAGGGCGACCGGCCACACUGGGACUGAGACACGGCCCAGACUCCUACGGGAGGCAGCAGUGGGGAAUAUUGCACAAUGGGCGAAAGCCUGAUGCAGCGACGCCGCGUGAGGGAUGACGGCCUUCGGGUUGUAAACCUCUUUCAGCAGGGAAGAAGCGAGAGUGACGGUACCUGCAGAAGAAGCGCCGGCUAACUACGUGCCAGCAGCCGCGGUAAUACGUAGGGCGCAAGCGUUGUCCGGAAUUAUUGGGCGUAAAGAGCUCGUAGGCGGCUUGUCACGUCGGUUGUGAAAGCCCGGGGCUUAACCCCGGGUCUGCAGUCGAUACGGGCAGGCUAGAGUUCGGUAGGGGAGAUCGGAAUUCCUGGUGUAGCGGUGAAAUGCGCAGAUAUCAGGAGGAACACCGGUGGCGAAGGCGGAUCUCUGGGCCGAUACUGACGCUGAGGAGCGAAAGCGUGGGGAGCGAACAGGAUUAGAUACCCUGGUAGUCCACGCCGUAAACGGUGGGCACUAGGUGUGGGCAACAUUCCACGUUGUCCGUGCCGCAGCUACGCAUUAAGUGCCCCGCCUGGGGAGUAC
Molecule: ribosomal RNA, 812 nt
Filed under: Streptomyces sp.
Lineage: Bacteria; Bacillati; Actinomycetota; Actinomycetes; Kitasatosporales; Streptomycetaceae
Description: bacterial SSU rRNA
Rfam family: Bacterial small subunit ribosomal RNA
Source: RNAcentral